CCUACGGGAGGCAGCAGUAGGGAAUCUUUCACAAUGGGCGAAAGCCUGAUGGAGCAACGCCGCGUGCAGGAUGAAGGCCUUCGGGUUGUAAACUGCUUUUAUAAGCGAGAAAUAUGAUGGUAACUUAUGAAUAAGGAUCGGCUAACUACGUGCCAGCAGCCGCGGUAAUACGUAGGGGGCAAGCGUUAUCCGGAUUUACUGGGUGUAAAGGGAGCGUAGACGGCAGCACAAGUCUGGAGUGAAAUCCCGGGGCUUAACCCCGGAACUGCUUUGGAAACUGUGCGGCUGGAGUGCAGGAGGGGUAAGCGGAAUUCCUAGUGUAGCGGUGAAAUGCGUAGAUAUUAGGAGGAACACCGGUGGCGAAGGCGGCUUACUGGACUGUAACUGACGUUGAGGCUCGAAAGCGUGGGGAGCAAACAGGAUUAGAUACCCGAGUAGUC
Molecule: ribosomal RNA, 440 nt
Filed under: uncultured bacterium
Lineage: Bacteria
Description: partial 16S ribosomal RNA
Rfam family: Bacterial small subunit ribosomal RNA
Source: RNAcentral